This 491-nucleotide ribosomal RNA is filed under the name uncultured bacterium. RNAcentral's name for it is "partial 16S ribosomal RNA". It matches the Rfam family "Bacterial small subunit ribosomal RNA", at positions 29 to 506 of the family's 1533-position model. The record is from RNAcentral.
AGUGAACGCUGGCGGUAGGCCUAACACAUGCAAGUCGAACGGCAGCACAGUAAGAGCUUGCUCUUACGGGUGGCGAGUGGCGGACGGGUGAGGAAUACAUCGGAAUCUACUUUUUCGUGGGGGAUAACGUAGGGAAACUUACGCUAAUACCGCAUACGACCUACGGGUGAAAGCAGGGGAUCUUCGGACCUUGCGCGAUUGAAUGAGCCGAUGUCGGAUUAGCUAGUUGGCGGGGUAAAGGCCCACCAAGGCGACGAUCCGUAGCUGGUCUGAGAGGAUGAUCGGCCACACUGGAACUGAGACACGGCCCAGACCCCUACGGGGGGCACCAGUGGGGAAUAUUGAAAAAGGGGCGCAAGCCUUAUCCAGCCAUACCGGGGGGGUGAAGAAGGCCUUCGGGUUGUAAAGCCCUUUUGUUGGGAAAAAAAAGCAGCAGGUUAAUACCCCGCUGUUCUGACGGUACCCAAAGAAAAAGCACCGGCAAACUUCGU